Molecule: ribosomal RNA, 433 nt
Filed under: uncultured bacterium
Lineage: Bacteria
Description: partial 16S ribosomal RNA
Rfam family: Bacterial small subunit ribosomal RNA
Source: RNAcentral
AACGAACGCUGGCGGCAUGCCUAACACAUGCAAGUCGAACGAGACCUUCGGGUCUAGUGGCGCACGGGUGCGUAACGCGUGGGAACCUGCCCUUAGGUUCGGAAUAACUCCCCGAAAGGGGUGCUAAUACCGGAUAAUGUCUUCGGACCAAAGAUUUAUCGCCUUUGGAUGGGCCCGCGUUGGAUUAGCUAGUUGGUAGGGUAAAAGCCUACCAAGGCGACGAUCCAUAGCUGGUCUGAGAGGAUGAUCAGCCACACUGGGACUGAGACACGGCCCAGACUCCUACGGGAGGCAGCAGUGGGGAAUAUUGGACAGUGGGCGAAAGCCUGAUCCAGCUAUGCCGCGUGAGUUAUGUAGGCCUUAGAGUUGUAAAGCUCUUUUACCCGGGAUGAUAAUGACAGUACCGGGAGAAUAAGCCACGGCUAACUACGUG